This 301-nucleotide ribosomal RNA is filed under the name uncultured bacterium. RNAcentral describes it as "partial 16S ribosomal RNA". It matches the Rfam family "Bacterial small subunit ribosomal RNA", at positions 509 to 809 of the family's 1533-position model. The record is from RNAcentral.
CAGUCGCCGCGGGAAUACGGAGGGUGCAAGCGUUAAUCGGAAUUACUGGGCGUAAAGCGCACGCAGGCGGUCUGACAAGUCAGAUGUGAAAUCCCCGGGCUUAACCUGGGAACUGCAUUUGAAACUGUCAGGCUGGAGUCUUGUAGAGGGGGGUAGAAUUCCAGGUGUAGCGGUGAAAUGCGUAGAGAUCUGGAGGAAUACCGGUGGCGAAGGCGGCCCCCUGGACAAAGACUGACGCUCAGGUGCGAAAGCGUGGGGAGCAAACAGGAUUAGAUACCCGGGUAGUCCCUGUCUCUUAUAU